RNAcentral lists this ribosomal RNA (207 nucleotides) under uncultured bacterium. Its description in RNAcentral is "partial 16S ribosomal RNA". It matches the Rfam family "Bacterial small subunit ribosomal RNA", at positions 568 to 774 of the family's 1533-position model. The record is from RNAcentral.
CGUGCAGGCGGUUCGGUAAGUUGGACGUGAAAGCUCUCGGCUCAACUGGGAGAGGUCGUUCAAUACUGUCGGACUUGAGGAUGGUAGAGGGAGGUGGAAUUCCGGGUGUAGUGGUGAAAUGCGCAGAUAUCCGGAGGAACACCAGUGGCGAAAGCGGCCUCCUGGACCAUUCCUGACGCUCAGACGCGAAAGCUAGGGUAGCGAACG